This 340-nucleotide ribosomal RNA is filed under the name uncultured Glomeromycotina. RNAcentral's name for it is "LSU rRNA". Lineage: Eukaryota; Fungi; Glomeromycota. The record is from RNAcentral.
UUCGGGUAUCAGCCUUUUGGGUGUGAUUUUGUGGAACGUGAGGAGUUAAACGCCUUCAUGCCUGCAUAUUCGUGCACUUUGGGUGUACUUGCCCGUAUGGUUGGUUAACAUCAAUUUUGAUGGUCAUAAAAUGACUGGAGGAAUGUAGCUUCGAUCUCGUAUUGAAGUGUUAUAGCCUUCAGUAGAUGUGAUGAUCGAGAUCGAGGAUUGCAACGGAUACCCUUCGGGGCUACCUGUCUGAUCUCUGAUCGUUGCUCUGGUGCCGAAAGCUUGCUUACGGUUAUCAAAGUCGAUGGUCAAUAGGUUAGAACGGGUUAAAUUCGUUAAGGAUGUUGACGUA